ACCUGAAAAACGAACCCGAAAGCAAAAGUCAGAUAACCAGCUCGGCUGUGUGGAAAUUCUCGACGAACACAAAAAGGCGAAAAAAAAAAGAAAGAUUGAAGUGGAGUCCCAAAUAAUAUGGUGGUUACUCUUAGAUUUCUUCUCAUAAGUUCUAUGGCUGGCCAGUGCUCUUUAAGUAAUAUAGCCAAAUCACCUUUCUUAUGGCGGUGAAGUCUCCAGGGUUGGAACUCAUCUCUAUCUCGGCGCGCUCUAUCAAGCCCUCGAGCUGUUCGCGCACGUCUCGCGCGCGCUUCAUCGAUCUAUGCUGGAUAAAGUUCUCAUAGCACCACUGCGUGGAGUAGUCCGUCUCCGCCCACUGGUCGUACACGUUCAACAGCGUCAGGUGGUCACCCCCCGGACGGAAAAAGUUUGUCCGGGCGUUGUCCGCGUGCACGAUUUUGUCCUUGGGUCGGUAGAAGAUGGCAUUGUUGACGGAGAGCAUGGCGAUUAUGGUCAACAUCUGGUCAACGCAUUUGUAUCUACAGCAUAACAAGGAUUAGCAAACAGGAAAGAACCGCUUUUUAAAAACAGCGAAGAAUCGGUUUUUGGAAACAGCAAAGAAUCUUAUUUUAAAAACGUGAAAGAUUCGGUUUCUGCAAACAAGACUGAAUGGGAUAAAUAUGCUUUAUAAAAACAGAAUUUAACAAACGUAAAGCAGUAUUAGUAUUACAACAAUGAGGAAGAGCCCUAACAA
This is a long non-coding RNA of Nematostella vectensis (starlet sea anemone), 733 nucleotides long. RefSeq lists it as uncharacterized. Lineage: Eukaryota; Metazoa; Cnidaria; Anthozoa; Actiniaria; Edwardsiidae. The record is from RefSeq and is a predicted model, not a curated record. The transcript has 2 exons.